This 460-nucleotide ribosomal RNA is filed under the name uncultured bacterium. Its description in RNAcentral is "partial 16S ribosomal RNA". It matches the Rfam family "Bacterial small subunit ribosomal RNA", at positions 338 to 795 of the family's 1533-position model. The record is from RNAcentral.
CCUACGGGAGGCAGCAGUGAGGAAUAUUGGUCAAUGGGCGCAAGCCUGAACCAGCCAAGUCGCGUGAGGGAUGACGGUCCUAUGGAUUGUAAACCUCUUUUGUCGGGGAGCAAGGCCCGCCACGUGUGGCGGGAAGGAGAGUACCCGAAGAAAAAGCAUCGGCUAACUCCGUGCCAGCAGCCGCGGUUAUACGGAGGAUGCGAGCGUUAUCCGGAUUUAUUGGGUUUAAAGGGUGCGUAGGCGGAAGGUUAAGUCAGCGGUAAAAUGUCGGUGCUCAACACCGGCCUGCCGUUGAAACUGGUCUUCUUGAGUGAGCGAGAAGUAUGCGGAAUGCGUGGUGUAGCGGUGAAAUGCAUAGAUAUCACGCAGAACUCCGAUUGCGAAGGCAGCAUACCGGCGCUCAACUGACGCUGAGGCACGAAAGCGUGGGGAUCGAACAGGAUUAGAUACCCCAGUAGUC